RNAcentral lists this unclassified non-coding RNA (282 nucleotides) under Hevea brasiliensis (rubber tree). The record is from RNAcentral. Lineage: Eukaryota; Viridiplantae; Streptophyta; Magnoliopsida; Malpighiales; Euphorbiaceae.
UCUCUCUCUAAUUUCUGCUCUUCUUGGAACUAAGAAUCCUGUUGAAUAACGGAUGCAUGGAAACUAAUUUAGAAUCCAAUCCCCCAUAAUGCAUGUGCAGCCCACUGUUUCCAUGGAGCAGAACACAAAAGUUUCUCAUAGUGAUAUGGUGUUGGCACUCAAAGCAUGGGAAGAGAGGAGAUAGUUAAAUAUAAAUAAAGAUUUGAAUCCAUAAGCAAUUGGGAGGGAAAAAAUAUUCAGCUACAAUUACACAGUACUAUAACAAACACAAAAUCAUUUAUG